CCCUGGAGCGGGGACGUGUGCACCAGAGGAAAGGCCGCCGGACAGCGGCGUCCACGGAAAAGCCAUUCUGACCAGUGUGAGAUGAUACCUCCCGUGGUCUGGGUUUACAUGGCCCUGAUGCUGAGAGAUGAUUCUCCGAGUGCCCGCCGCUGGUGGCAUUUCAGCUCCCGGGGACAUGGCCACGGACCAUGCAUGGCCCGGCCCCAGCAGCGCCCCUGCGGUGGCCAGAACGGGCCAGUGGAGGCGGCAAGUACGUUCUGCUGAGCUCCUACGGGCGCGACCUGAAGAAAUGUCUGAUUCAGCCUUUUCCAGUCACCCGGCAGCUGUCUCUUCUUCAUGGAAAUUUUAAAAUGACGUUUCUAUUUUCAGUUUUGAUUCCAUUAAAAUCUGGCGUAUUCCGGUCUUCCUGACAGUCUCGCGGAAGCGUGAGGUGUGCUGAGUCCCCGGUGGCCGGCCCGGCCAUCACGCUCAUCACUGCCGGACAGACCGUCCCUCGGCGGCCCGGCCCACCGGGGGCGACCGCACGUGCCCAUCCCGUGGCCCAGAAGGAAGAUUUUGUUAUAAAAGAAAAAAAGUAUUUUUGCCAGGGCAAAAUAGGCCAGCCUCUUGGCUUUCUCUUUAAAAAGGAAAAAACAGAGGGGCGCCUGGGUGGCUCAGUGGGUUAAGCCUC
Long non-coding RNA from Neogale vison (American mink), 670 nucleotides. RefSeq lists it as uncharacterized. Lineage: Eukaryota; Metazoa; Chordata; Mammalia; Carnivora; Mustelidae. The transcript is spliced from 3 exons. The record is from RefSeq and is a predicted model, not a curated record.